GAUCACAGCAGGAAAGAAGCUUUGUCAGAUGAGGCUGCCCUUAGCAAGUCUGUUUCUCCAACAAUUGAUGCUCGGUCCUUGCAAGUUCAGCAGUUUGUAAGAGCUUUGUUUCUCUCUCAUGGACAGUUUCUUACCUUCUCUGGCGCUUAUGUCUUUAUCAAUUGCUUUAGUAUGAUGGCUUAGAAGUUAGAACCACAUCUCUUUAAUUUGUGUCAUUUACCACAUUUUUAGCUUAAUUUUGUUGAUUCUGAUAAGCACUUAAGAAUUUAGGUCCAUGACUUCCUGUCAUUUCCCUUUGCUUUAUUUGAAGUUAGUGAUUUCUUUGUUGCCUCGUUGAUUGAGUUUGUUCUCCCAAAUCACGGAAAAUAAUGCCUGUCAAAAAUUAUAUACUUGAUUUUAAAUUUCUUUGAUUCAUCACGAAAUUUUUAUUAAAUUUUUAUAUUCUGAUCACUCAAACUCUCAUUACUCUAUGAAGCAUUAUUGAUGCAAUAGGUAUUUAAUCAUCUAGUUUAAAAGGAUAAUUGCUGAUAACCAUCAUUGUCCACUCCCAAUUAUUAUCUACAAUAUCAUUAAUUCUUAUACAAAUAGGGUGCCAUUAUUAAUAUUUUAACAUUCUUUUUUUUUUAUUGGAAAAAGUUUAAAAAUAGCAAAGUUAGAUGGUUCAAUCAUUAAACUAUAUGAACAUCAAGAAAGAAAAAACGUUGACAACAUAUCCUUUAUUCAUCCUUACUUGAUUAUUCCUUGGGCAUGCAAAUCAUAUGAGUAACACUAGCCCUUAAGUAAUUAGUGUAAGAAAUUUUAGGCGAAUUGUGCGUAGGGUGUGGAUUUUUUCAAUAUUUCACUUGAUGUCAAUGCAAUGCUUCCCUUCCUAAAUUAUAUGGUUUGCUUAGUGACUUUAAUUAUGAUUAAUUCAACAGAGCGGCAGAAAUGAAGACAACCCAAACAUGUCAAUAAGCGAAAACUUCAGCUCCACCACACCCUUCAAAGAAAAUGAAUCGAUUGAUCCUCCUUUGAAGCACAGAAGAC
RNAcentral lists this long non-coding RNA (1026 nucleotides) under Theobroma cacao (cacao). RNAcentral describes it as "long non-coding RNA (TCAC_LNC002863)". Lineage: Eukaryota; Viridiplantae; Streptophyta; Magnoliopsida; Malvales; Malvaceae. The record is from RNAcentral.